This 492-nucleotide ribosomal RNA is filed under the name uncultured bacterium. RNAcentral's name for it is "partial 16S ribosomal RNA". It matches the Rfam family "Bacterial small subunit ribosomal RNA", at positions 29 to 507 of the family's 1533-position model. The record is from RNAcentral.
AGUGAACGCUGGCGGUAGGCCUAACACAUGCAAGUCGAACGGCAGCACAAUAAGAGCUUGCUCUUACGGGUGGCGAGUGGCGGACGGGUGCGGAAUACAUCGGAAUCUACUUUUUCGUGGGGGCUAACGUAGGGAAACUUACGCUAAUACCGCAUACGACCUAAGGGUGAAAGCAGGGGAUCUUCGGCCAUUGCGCGAUUGAAUGAGCCGAUGUCGGAUUAGCUAGUUGGCGGGGUAAAGGCCCACCAAGGCGACGAUCCGUAGCUGGUCUGAGAGGAUGAUCAGCCACACUGGAACUGAGACACGGUCCAGACUCCUACGGGAGGCAGCAGUGGGGAAUAUUGGACAAUGGGCGCAAGCCUGAUCCAGCCAUACCGCGUGGGUGAAGAAGGCCUUCGGGUUGUAAAGCACUUUUGGUGGGAAAGAAAAGCAGCAGGUUAAUACCCCGCUGUUCUGACGUUACCCAAAGAAUAAGCACCGGCUAACUUCGUG